This 993-nucleotide ribosomal RNA is filed under the name Bacillus pumilus. RNAcentral's name for it is "bacterial SSU rRNA". It matches the Rfam family "Bacterial small subunit ribosomal RNA", at positions 38 to 1015 of the family's 1533-position model. Lineage: Bacteria; Bacillati; Bacillota; Bacilli; Caryophanales; Bacillaceae. The record is from RNAcentral.
GGCGGCGUGCUAUACAUGCAAGUCGAGCGGACAGAAGGGAGCUUGCUCCCGGAUGUUAGCGGCGGACGGGUGAGUAACACGUGGGUAACCUGCCUGUAAGACUGGGAUAACUCCGGGAAACCGGAGCUAAUACCGGAUAGUUCCUUGAACCGCAUGGUUCAAGGAUGAAAGACGGUUUCGGCUGUCACUUACAGAUGGACCCGCGGCGCAUUAGCUAGUUGGUGAGGUAACGGCUCACCAAGGCGACGAUGCGUAGCCGACCUGAGAGGGUGAUCGGCCACACUGGGACUGAGACACGGCCCAGACUCCUACGGGAGGCAGCAGUAGGGAAUCUUCCGCAAUGGACGAAAGUCUGACGGAGCAACGCCGCGUGAGUGAUGAAGGUUUUCGGAUCGUAAAGCUCUGUUGUUAGGGAAGAACAAGUGCAAGAGUAACUGCUUGCACCUUGACGGUACCUAACCAGAAAGCCACGGCUAACUACGUGCCAGCAGCCGCGGUAAUACGUAGGUGGCAAGCGUUGUCCGGAAUUAUUGGGCGUAAAGGGCUCGCAGGCGGUUUCUUAAGUCUGAUGUGAAAGCCCCCGGCUCAACCGGGGAGGGUCAUUGGAAACUGGGAAACUUGAUUGCAGAAGAGGAGAGUGGAAUUCCACGUGUAGCGGUGAAAUGCGUAGAGAUGUGGAGGAACACCAGUGGCGAAGGCGACUCUCUGGUCUGUAACUGACGCUGAGGAGCGAAAGCGUGGGGAGCGAACAGGAUUAGAUACCCUGGUAGUCCACGCCGUAAACGAUGAGUGCUAAGUGUUAGGGGGUUUCCGCCCCUUAGUGCUGCAGCUAACGCAUUAAGCACUCCGCCUGGGGAGUACGGUCGCAAGACUGAAACUCAAAGGAAUUGACGGGGGCCCGCACAAGCGGUGGAGCAUGUGGUUUAAUUCGAAGCAACGCGAAGAACCUUACCAGGUCUUGACAUCCUCUGACAACCCUAGAGAUAGGGCUUU